GGUGUUUGGAAUGAAGUUUGAUCCAAGAUCCUUGUUUCUCUUUUAGUGUUUGGGUUUUUUUUCCCCUUUUGUUUCUAAAUGGGGAUUGAGUUUAAUUUUGAGUCUUUCUGUUGGUUUAAUGAGUUGUUGCAUGAAUAAAGAGAUUGAAGAAGAGAGAUUUUACUUGUAAAACUUCAAGAUCCUCUUCUCUUUUCUCUCUGAGAGAGAGAGAGAGAGAAGGGAGGGUUUCUGAUAGAAAGUUGAUUCAAGAUCCUUCUCUUUCUUUCUUUCUCCUCUUCUCUAUCUUAAUUUCUAUGUUCCUCUUAAAAAGAAAGAGCUUGAAAAUUUUGCAGUCAUGUUCAUGUCCUUUUUCCAUUUUUUUUCACUCUUGAUCUUGAAAAUAAUUACUUGAUAAUACCAUAGACUGAUCUCGGACCAGGCUUCAUUCCUCACACC
This 435-nucleotide small RNA is filed under the name Manihot esculenta (cassava). RNAcentral describes it as "precursor microRNA miR166o". Lineage: Eukaryota; Viridiplantae; Streptophyta; Magnoliopsida; Malpighiales; Euphorbiaceae. The record is from RNAcentral.